Molecule: RNA transcript, 2959 nt
Organism: Helianthus annuus (common sunflower)
Lineage: Eukaryota; Viridiplantae; Streptophyta; Magnoliopsida; Asterales; Asteraceae
Exons: 9
Source: RefSeq, a predicted model, not a curated record
AUACAUUAGAGUUGUUCAUUUCAAAACAUUUCAAAUUCACCCGCUUCCCUGCUCCUCUCUGGCGAAUCCAGAUCUGCUCUCUGGGCGAAUCCAGAUCUGGAUUUAGGGUUUUUCUCCAAGAAGAUCUAGCCUUUCUCAUUAACACCAGAUCGAUAAAGAAAUGUCAAUGCAUUAUCCAUUCAGAUCUAGCCUUUCACCGGAGAGUCGGAGACCCCAAUUGCAGCCACUACCGUCGUUCACAACCACCACCACCGCUCGCAACAACCACCACCAUGGAUGUUUGGCUACCAGAUAGUGGUUGUUGAUGGCUGCAGACAUGGUGGCGAUACGCGGUUUGCUGGAGCUCCAACAUGAAACGAGCUUAAUCUGUGAACCAUCUGGCUAGCCUUUAUGAGUUCUUAGUAUUUUUUUUUUUUUAUAAAUUCUUGUUGAUUAUUAGUUUUUACUAUAACAAACUUCAUGUAAUAAUGGGAUUGGAUUUUGUUUACGUUACAAAACUGGUGUUGAAUCUGAGAAUUUGAAAUUACUGUAUGUGGAUUCUAGAAAGUCAAAUGUUGACUCUAUUUGGAAUUAAGUUUACAGGAUAUUCGUGGAAAUGAGGUGCCUUUGAGCUUUUACAAGAGGAAGGCUGUGUUAAUUGGUAAUGUUGCGUCACUCCAAAUGAACGACAUCACAUAGAAACCUGAGUUCAUACAGGGUUUUGGCAAAGUUCUGGCUAGCUCCGGUGACCUGUUCUCAUCUUGCUUGUGACAUCUUUGUGUAGAUCGGCCACCCUAAGACCUCUAUAGCUGGUCUAAUUUUAGAUUUUGCUCUGUGUAAUCUCAAGUUGUUUGGUUCCAUACUUUUCAUUCUGAAACCGGUUCUGUCAUGAUAAUACCCAUAAUUAAACUCCCAUUAAAAGGGUUAUUUGUUAUUUUUUUUUGUAUAGUUUGAUUGUUAUGAAUUAGGUUGAGUUAAUUAACGUUUUUUUGUUAGUUGAAGUAUGGAGGAACCAGCCAUUGCCGCUGAUGACGGACAAGAAGCCGCCCCUCCGUAUCUUUCAUGACAACUUCAUCAGGUAACCAGUAACCGAUUAGUUAGAAAUCUGUUGUGUUAUAGUUGUGUUAUCGGUGGUAAGAUUUGGUUAAUGAUUGGUAGUGUAAGUUGGUUUGACCUUAUACAGGGUACAUUUAUCCAUUUAUUAUUAUUUUUGCUAACUCAUCACUGCACUAAUACUUACAUUUUGAGCAAUCCCGGGACCAUAAAAGUAUGUUAUAGAAAUAGCUUGAAAAGAAACGGGUCAACUUGGCUUUUAGUCUUUGGUACCCACCGUUUCAUAGAUGGAUAAAUGUACCCUCAAACAUUAUCAUUUGUGUUAAUGAAGUUUUAUGUAUUUUUCGUACCCACUUCUUACAAAUCUGUGUUCCGACCCAUCUUUCUUGCUGUUGUUUUGGCUGUGAUGUUGGUGGUUGUGUUGUUGCCAGUAGUAAUGAAAAGAUAGGCUUUUUUAUGUUCGUGGUGAAAAGUAUAGACUGUAUGUUUGUUGAUUUAUUUGGGAUUUGAAGCGUUAUCCGGCGAUGAUGGUGGCUUGCUACUUGGCGUGGCAACUCUGUUUGUAGCCUUAGCGGCACUGAGCCAUGUUUACAGACUGUAUGUUCCUUUGUUGGAAUGUUAAUUUCAUCCGAUAGAAAACUGGUCAUAAAACAGGAAGUUGGUGAUGAACACCAGGUAACUUUUCGUCAAUUAUGUAUUCAUUUCAAAUUAAUGAUAUUGUGUUUUGUUCUUUCCGACAGUGCUUAUGUACCCGGGCGGCUUUCAAAGGUAUCCUUGGAGAAAUUUUGUGAAAGUUAGCCGUGCUCUUAGACAUUGCUCUAAUACAGCAUUGGCAUAGGAAUAUGGUAACUGUUGAGUUCACUAACUAUGAUAUUAAGUGAGCCCUUACUCAGAGGGAUCAAGAUCUACGGAUGUAGUCGCUACGCAUGAAAGUACGAAAAGGCGACGUGUGUCUAGACAUGCAGGUGAAAGCUCAUCGUCAGCCGCAGCGGCGCAGCGAGCGCAGCCGACGAGCAAUUGCAGCCAACAGGAACCCUUCAGCAGCCCGUUUUAUGGCCAAUCAACCAGCCAUGGGUUUGCAACUUGCACUGCUAGGUCGAGAUGCAUCAACAGCAGAGCAAGAAACUGUCAUGAUUGACGAAUUUGUAACAGACAUCAGGGAGUUCUCAACUUCUGUUUCAGGGCGUAACUCCCCUGCUGCCAUAAUAAUGUUUGCUGCAAGUCUUUUCUCAUGUUCUUUUGUGCAUAUAUUACCAACAAUAUCAUAUUUUUGUUGCAUUUGUAAUGCACAUUAAGUUUGUUUACAGGACAUCUAUGCAUGCAUGAUAGCUGUUAUGGAAAAAAAUAGCUGAAGGUGGUAUUUUUGCUGCUGUUGCCUUGGUCUUUGCGGUGGACAGUAAUAAACCUCUUGGUAUAGGAGAAACUCAAUUUCAUGCUAUAUUAUCAGUGGAUUGUCGCCAGUAGGCCCCACGUACAAGGCAACAUACAAGUAACACGUUUGGCAUUAAUGGAGGCUCAUCAACAUUUUAGUUAUAGAAAUGGCUUUCUUGAUACAUGCGCAUAUGACAUCCAUUUUCUGCAAGUGUUCACAGUACCAAACCAUAUUGGCCAGUCGGAGCGGAAACUAGCUACACAAGCGGCCCAGUCAAGCUAUCUUGAACCGCCUUCAUUUGGGCCGGCGGGUUCUGUGCUGGUAGUUGAACUGGCGAACCGGAUUGAUGGUUGGACUAGAUUUUCAAAGCCUUUUUAAUUUAUUUUAAUGUAUUUUCUUUUCUAAAAUAGUAAAAUCUCAUCUACUAAUUCAUUUAUGGCCUCUAUGUUUUGCUUAUUCUAAGCUCAUUUUUGUUAGCAUUGCAAAUAGGAAAGGAUAAAUCACUUUCGUAGUUUUUUUUGUUAGUUGUAUAUAAAAUUUAUAAUUUUUAAAUUA